CAGGAGGAUAGCCCGGGAAAACUCGGAUUAAUACUCCAUAAGAUUUUGAUGGGCAUCGAUUAAAAUUGAAAGAUUUAUUGGAUAAGAAUAGGCAUGCGUCAGAUUAGUUAGUUGGUAGUGUACCGGACUACCAAGGCGAUGAUCUGUAGGGGGCCUGAGAGGGUGACCCCCCACACUGGUACUGAGACACGGACCAGACUCCUACGGGAGGCAGCAGUGAGGAAUAUUGGACAAUGGAGGGAACUCUGAUCCAGCCAUCCCGCGUGCAGGAAGACGGCCCUAUGGGUUGUAAACUGCUUUUGUAUGGGGAUAAAUCUACCUACGUGUAGGUAGUUGAAGGUACCAUACGAAUAAGCAUCGGCUAACUCCGUGCCAGCAGCCGCGGUAAUACGGAGGAUGCAAGCGUUAUCCGGAUUCAUUGGGUUUAAAGGGUCCGUAGGCGGGCUGAUAAGUCAGUGGUGAAAUUUUGUCGCUCAACGAUAAAACUGCCAUUGAUACUGUUAGUCUUGAGUGAUAUUGAAGUAGCUGGAAUGUGUAGUGUAGCGGUGAAAUGCAUAGAUAUUACACAGAACACCGAUUGCGAAGGCAGGUUACUAAGUAUUAACUGACGCUGAAGGACGAAAGCGUGGGGAGCGAACAGGAUUAGAUACCCUGGUAGU
Molecule: ribosomal RNA, 659 nt
Filed under: Ornithobacterium rhinotracheale
Lineage: Bacteria; Pseudomonadati; Bacteroidota; Flavobacteriia; Flavobacteriales; Weeksellaceae
Description: bacterial SSU rRNA
Rfam family: Bacterial small subunit ribosomal RNA
Source: RNAcentral